UUGCAGUCCAUGUGCGAGAAGAACAAUCAGACCCCUCCGUCGAUGCCAGUCAUUGCUCCGGCGGACACGCAUAACUCCCGACAAGCAUCGACGUCUGCCAUUGGCGCGAGCAAGAACCCCGAUCCUCCUCUGUCUGCCACUACCGCGAGCAAGAACCCCGAUCCUUCACCUACGGGUUGACGAUUUGCUUCAGAUCACGGAAGCUUGGGUUGAUGGAGUGCUUGUUUUUAGUUUUUGUUUUGA
This is a non-coding RNA of Triticum urartu, 243 nucleotides long. The record is from RefSeq and is a predicted model, not a curated record. NCBI's taxonomy places the organism in Eukaryota, Viridiplantae, Streptophyta, Magnoliopsida, Poales, Poaceae.